ACCCGCUGAACUUAAGCAUAUCAAUAAGCGGAGGAAAAGAAACCAACAGGGAUUGCCCUAGUAACGGCGAGUGAAGCGGCAACAGCUCAAAUUUGAAAUCUGGCGUCUUUGGCGUCCGAGUUGUAAUUUGCAGAGGGCGCUUUGGCAUUGGCAGCGGUCCAAGUUCCUUGGAACAGGACGUCACAGAGGGUGAGAAUCCCGUACGUGGUCGCUAGCCUUUACCGUGUAAAGCCCCUUCGACGAGUCGAGUUGUUUGGGAAUGCAGCUCUAAAUGGGAGGUAAAUUUCUUCUAAAGCUAAAUACUGGCCAGAGACCGAUAGCGCACAGGUAGAGUGAUCGAAAGAUGAAAAGCACUUUGGAAAGAGAGUUAAAAAGCACGUGAAAUUGUUGAAAGGGAAGCGCUUGCAGCCAGACCUGCCUGUAGUUGCUCAUCCGGGUUUUUACCCGGUGCACUCUUCUAUAGGCAGGCCAGCAUCAGUUUGGGCGGUUGGAUAAAGGUCUCUGUCACGUACCUCUCUUCGGGGAGAACUUAUAGGGGAGACGACAUGCAACCAGCCCGGACUGAGGUCCGCGCAUCUGCUAGGAUGCUGGCGUAAUGGCUGU
RNAcentral lists this ribosomal RNA (603 nucleotides) under uncultured fungus. RNAcentral describes it as "eukaryotic LSU rRNA". It matches the Rfam family "Eukaryotic large subunit ribosomal RNA", at positions 23 to 641 of the family's 3401-position model. The record is from RNAcentral. Lineage: Eukaryota; Fungi.